CCUGUGCUCCCCCGAGGUGCAGCUAGACCGUGCGCUGUUUGACUCCCAGCUGUUUACGCACUGGUGGCUUUUUAAAAUCGACUUCAUGAAGAGGGCGUCCCUGCUGGGGCCCGGGAGGGGCCUGCUAUGCUCCGUCCCCAAGCCGUGUUCUCAGGGCCCAUCUGACUUGUGUCCAUGGCAUGGUCACCACGCACUGGCCUCUUGGCCAUCUUGCCUGUUUCCCUAAUGACUCCACAGACCCGUGAUCCGCCCAUUCUGUUCUCCUGGCCCUGUGUUUCCUACUUUAAUGUGGACCCUUUCCUGGUUUGCGUGACCCCCACCCGAGAGCGCCGGGCCUGCUUCUCAUCUGGCUCCUACAUGGGCCAGACUUGGAGGUUCUACUGUCCAGCGGAGUUUCCAUGUGGGCAGGUGGAGGCCUGGGGAUCCCCUGGGCACCCAGAGCCAUUCUCUUUGGUGACCCUGUGCCUGGGCGUUGCUGGUUCCACGUGGAGAUGAGAGAGGGCUUCGGGGACAGCUCCCCAUGGCGCUCUGCUGUGCAGCUGGCCCCAGCUCAUCGGGAUGUCCCCGGCUAGUGUCUACAGUGGAUUCACGGUCACACUCAUUUUACCAUCGGGGACCUGGAGGCAGACGGGCGGGGUGGGCCCCCUCUCUGCAGAGCCGGCAUGACACCGGCAUGACACCAGCAUGACACCGACGGUCCCACGGCUGGCCCCGCCUUCCUUGGCCUCCCGUGCCCCCCACGCCUCCUGCUUCCGGGUGUGGGUCUCCUAAUGGUCUUGCAUUCUCUGAUCCCGAGGAGGCCUUGGUGGACGCUCCUUGUUCCUGAAGAUCCAGCCUCCGAGACUCAGGGAGCAGGAGAGGCCAGCAGGACGCGGCACGUGGCAGGAGGCUCCUGUGCCCUGGGGCGGAGGCCAGCGCCCCUCAGAGUCCUCUUGAGUGUGGGGGUGUGGACAGGGCCCCUUGCCCCACUCAGGCGCAGGGGAGUGUGGCUCGGAAGGCUGGACGGGCUGGGCGCUUCCUGCAGGGUCUGUUGGUCUGUGCUGCCUUGCUAGGCCAGGAGCGGCUCAGCUUGGCUUCAGCCUGCACUGACCAAGCCCUCGGGGUCUGUGACUGCAGCCCCCGCCCCUUACUGACGCAUGUGCCGCACCUUAGAAACUUCUGCACAAUUGCUAUUUUGUAUCCUUCACAGGACCCAACUGCGUUCUUGGCUGAAGGAGGAGAGAUGUGUCCAAGACAUCCCAGCCUCCCAAAUUCCCCAGAUUAAGAAGGGCUCAAUAUCAUGGCAUCAUCAUUAUUUUCUGUACUGGGAAUUUUGAACCCAGCAUUGCUGAACCACUGAGCCACAUCCCCAGUCCUUUUUGAAAUUUUUAAUUUUGAGACAGCCUCUCACUAAGUUGCUUAGGGCCUUGCUAAAGUUACGAGGCUGGCUUUGAACUGGCGAUCCUCCUGCCUCAGUCUCCUGGGAUGAGAGGCGCAUGCCUCUGUGCCCGGCUCGACAUAUUUUUGGCCUAAGUAUAUACUGAAAAUUAAUUUUGGUGACUAUCCCGUUGGUAAAAUCAGGUUGUUCACUUCAUUAGAUGUAACCUGAUAGGUAUGUUUAGAUACCUGUCGAGGGUUAUGGAAGUGUGCUGGCGUCACACUGGAGGUGGGGAUGCUGAGACGGCUGAGCUCUGCUGGCCAUGGAGGGCUUGCCGGGUACGAGGUCCCCUGCCGAGGCUCCUCUGUUGGUGUGGUUGGUCCCGUGGUUUUCUCAUUGCACUGAUGUUGGAGAAGUUGAAUCCAGAGCCAUGAAGUGAGGAGUCCAAGUCCAAGUUUGGUCCCAGGGUCAGAGCCCCCCUGAGCAAGGACCAGUGGACCGGGAGUCUGUGAGGCACCUCGCCUUGUCCUGGGGGCCCUCUCUCUGUGGUUUUCCGUCUUCUGUGCAAGUCUUUCCUGCAGACAGGGCUGGGGAACCCUUCCUGUGCCUUCCUCCGUGGACCCUCUUGAAACACACUGGAGACCCCGUGGCCCAGCCGCCUCGAUACCCAAGUGACGUUGGAAGUGUCCCAAGGUGCAAAGUGCACAACCCACCGUGGAGGGAGACGUGUGGGAGCGGAGGGCAUGGAAGGGGUUAUUUUCUGUCUUACUCUUCAAAGGACUGUGGAGUCACAGGGAGUGGCAAAGACAGAGUGUAAGGUCGCUUGAGCCCUCCCUCCUGCUCUCCACAUGGUGACAUCCUAGGUUUACUGCCGUAAAAUAGCGAGACCAGGAAGUCGACACGGGAACAGCGCUGGGCUCCAGCCUCGCACAGAUUUCACCAGUCCAUGUGCGUGUUCUGUGCACGUCACCUCUGGAGAUCCGCGUAGCACCACCAUCGUCAGAGGGAGCUCCCUGGUGCCGUCGUGGAGGAGAUUAAAAACGGUUUACUUCACUAGUAUGGCAGUGUGUAUAAACGUGGAUGUGUAACCAAUGUGAAUCUGCAAUCUGUACACGGGGUAAAAAUGGGAGUUCAUAACCCACUUGAAUCAAAUGUAUGAAAUAUGAUAUGUCAAGAGCAUUGUAAUGUUUUGAACAACUAAUAAAACAAC
Molecule: long non-coding RNA, 2567 nt
Filed under: Marmota monax (woodchuck)
Lineage: Eukaryota; Metazoa; Chordata; Mammalia; Rodentia; Sciuridae
Source: RNAcentral